AUGUUUGAAGCUUUGGUUGUAGCUCUGUUGUUCUCUGUUCUUAACUAUGGAAUCAACAGAGCCACAGCAAGUGGUGAUGGAGAUUUCUUCCAUAACUGCGCACCAUCCAGGUGCAGCGAAGAAGGCACAAUAGAGAUCCGAUUUCCAUUCCGCCCAGCAACCAGGAUUUGUCAAAUUUGCCAGCAACCAGCCCCCCAUCCUGUGGAGCACCUGGCUUGGAGCUAG
Molecule: ribosomal RNA, 225 nt
Filed under: Triticum aestivum (bread wheat)
Lineage: Eukaryota; Viridiplantae; Streptophyta; Magnoliopsida; Poales; Poaceae
Description: partial small subunit ribosomal RNA
Source: RNAcentral